This 76-nucleotide transfer RNA is filed under the name Magnetococcales bacterium. RNAcentral's name for it is "tRNA-Lys". It matches the Rfam family "tRNA". Rfam says of the family: Transfer RNA (tRNA) molecules are approximately 80 nucleotides in length. Their secondary structure includes four short double-helical elements and three loops (D, anti-codon, and T loops). Further hydrogen bonds mediate the characteristic L-shaped molecular structure. tRNAs have two regions of fundamental functional importance: the anti-codon, which is responsible for specific mRNA codon recognition, and the 3' end, to which the tRNAs corresponding amino acid is attached (by aminoacyl-tRNA synthetases). tRNAs cope with the degeneracy of the genetic code in two manners: having more than one tRNA (with a specific anti-codon) for a particular amino acid; and 'wobble' base-pairing, i.e. permitting non-standard base-pairing at the 3rd anti-codon position. Lineage: Bacteria; Pseudomonadati; Pseudomonadota; Magnetococcia; Magnetococcales. The record is from RNAcentral.
GGGCCGUUAGCUCAGGUGGUAGAGCAGCUGACUCUUAAUCAGCGGGUCCAAGGUUCGAGUCCUUGACGGCCCACCA